Long non-coding RNA from Oncorhynchus tshawytscha (Chinook salmon), 605 nucleotides. NCBI's taxonomy places the organism in Eukaryota, Metazoa, Chordata, Actinopteri, Salmoniformes, Salmonidae. The record is from Ensembl.
UGGGUUAGUGUAGUGUAUGGUUAGUGUAGUGUGGGUUAGUGUAGUGUAUGGUUAGUGUAGUGUGGGUUAGUGUAGUGUAUGGUUAGUGUAGUGUGGGUUAGUGUAGUGUAUGGUUAGUGUAGUGUGGGUUAGUGUAGUGUAGAGUUAGUGUAGUGUGGGUUAGUGUAGUGUAUGGUUAGUGUAGUUGUGGGUUAGUGUAGUGUAUGGUUAGUGUAGUGUAUGGUUAGUGUAGUGUAUGGUUAGUGUAGUGUGGGGUUAGUGUAGUGUAGGGUUAGUGUAGUGUGGGGUUAGUGUAGUGUAGGAUUAGUGUAGUGUGGGGUUAGUGUAGUGUAGGAUUAGUGUAGUGUAUGGUUAGUGUAGUGUAUGGUUAGUGUUGUGUAUGGUUAGUGUAGUGUGGGGUUAGUGUAGUGUAGGGUUAGUGUAGUGUGGGUUUAGUGUAGUGCAGGGUUAGUGUAGUGUGGGUUUAGUGUAGUGUAUGUGUAGUGUACGGUUAGUGUAGUGUGGGUUUAGUGUAGUGUGAGAUUAGUAUAGUGUAUGGUUAGCGUAGUGUAUGGUAGGAUUAGUGUAGUGUAUGUUUUAGUGUAGUGUGGGGUUAGUGUAGUGUA